GCGCUUCAGCCUAGGAUGUCGUAAGCGGGCGAGGAGCAGCCCAUGGAGACGACGGGCGCCACCGAGAACGGACACGAGGCCGCCCCCGAAGGCGAGUCGCCGGCCGGGGCUGGCGCGGGCGCCUCGGCAUGGGCCGGAGGCGCGACCGUGGCGCCCCCGAGCGGGAAUCAGAACGGUGCCGAGGGCGACCAGAUCAACGCCAGCAAGAACGAGGAAGAUGCGGGAAAAAUGUUCGUUGGUGGCCUAAGCUGGGAUACCAGCAAAAAGAUUUAAAAGACUAUUUUACUAAAUGUGGAGAGGUGGUUGACUGUACAAUAAAAAUGGAUCCCAACACUGGACGGUCAAGAGGGUUUGGGUUUAUCUUGUUCAAAGAUGCGGCCAGUGUGGAGAAGGUUCUAGACCAGAAGGAGCACAGGUUGGAUGGCCAUGUCAUUGACCCUAAAAAGGCCAUGGCUAUGAAGAAGGACCCGGUGAAGAAAAUCUUUGUCAGGGGUCUGAAUCCUGAAGCCACUGAGGAAAAGAUCAGGGAGUACUUCGGCGAUUUUGGGGAGAUUGAGGCCAUUGAACUUCCAAUGGAUCCUAAGUUGAACAAAAGACGAGGUUUUGUGUUUAUCACCUUUAAAGAAGAAGAACCUGUAAAGAAGGUUCUGGAGAAAAAGUUUCAUACUAUCAGUGGAAGCAAGUGUGAGAUCAAGGUGACCCAGCCUAAAGAAGUUUAUCAGCAGCAGCAGUAUGGCUCUAGGGGCCGUGGAAACCGCAACCGAGGGAACUGAGGCAGCGGAGGCGGUGGUGGAGAUGGAGGUCAGAGUCAGAGUUGGAAUCUGGGCUGCGGCUACCAGCAGGGCUACGGGCCUGGCUAUGGCGGCUGCGGCUACUCGCCCUAUGGCUAUUACGGCUACGCCCCGGCUACAGUCAGGGUAGUACAAACUACAGCAAGAGCCAGCGACGUGGUGGCCAUCAGAAUAACUACAAGCCAUACUGAGGCGACAGCAGGAGCGACCAACUGACUGCACACAUGCUUUGUUUGAAUAUGGAGUGAACACAAUUAUGUACCAAAUUUAACUUGACAAACUUUCUGUGGCCUGUCCCAUGUGCAUCUUAUUUAAAAUUUCCCCCAGGGAAAUCACUCUCCUGUUUACUAUUUCCAGAGCGCUAGCUGUUUAGGCAGGGUGUGGUGUCUGAGAGGCCACAGUGGCAUUAUGGGCUGAUUUCUAUUACCAGGUCCCCCAGAACCAGAUGGGAGGCUCUGCUUCCUGCUGCUGCUCUGCAGCCUGGACCUGUGGACCCUGGUUGUAAAGAGCAAAUUGUAUCUUAGGAAACCAGUGUCACCUUUUUUUCACCUUUUAAUUUUAUAUUAUUUGUGUCAUACAUUUCCUGUAAUGGAAGUGUUAAUUUUACUGUACUUUUUGGUACCUUUUGGGAAUCUAAUGUAUUGUAAGGUAUUUUACACGUGUCCUGAUUUUGCCACAACCUGGAUAUUAAAGCUAUCCAAGCUUUUGAAAUAAAAAUUUAAACCUCCC
RNA transcript from Callithrix jacchus (white-tufted-ear marmoset), 1520 nucleotides. It is a transcript of the gene named heterogeneous nuclear ribonucleoprotein A/B pseudogene, with no coding region annotated. Lineage: Eukaryota; Metazoa; Chordata; Mammalia; Primates; Cebidae. The record is from RefSeq and is a predicted model, not a curated record.